CCCUUAGAUGUCCUGGGCCGCACGCGUGCUACACUGACGCCUACAGCGAGUACUUCCCAGCCCCGAGAGGUGGCUGGUAAUCAGCAAUAGGCGUCGUGAUGGGGAUAGAUCUUUGGAAUUAUGGAUCUUGAACGAGGAAUGCCUAGUAAGCGCAGGUCAUUAGUCUGCGCUGAUUAAGUCCCUGCCCUUUGUACACACCGCCCGUCGCUCCUACCGAUUUCGAGUGGUCCGGUGAAUCUUUCGGACUGCGCGCGGCCUCGUGCCGUGUCGCGGAAAGUCAGGUAAACCUUAUCACUUAGAGGAAGGAGAAGUCGUAACA
This 319-nucleotide ribosomal RNA is filed under the name uncultured eukaryote. RNAcentral's name for it is "partial 18S ribosomal RNA". It matches the Rfam family "Eukaryotic small subunit ribosomal RNA", at positions 1470 to 1796 of the family's 1831-position model. The record is from RNAcentral.